UGUUACUUUUACAAAUUUCUUUGGAGUAUUAAUAUUUAUGAAAUUUAACGGAUUUGGCGGCAAGAUAGCCCAUUUAGAGGAACCUGCCCUGUAAACGAUGAGCCACGAACACUUUACUCUUUUUAGUAAUCAGUUUGUAUACCGCUGUUGUCAGUUAGUUUUAGUAGAAAACUUUCGCUAAUGGAAUAAAUCCCAUUGAAUUCAAGUAAAGGUGCAGCUAAUAAAAGAGAUAGAGGUGGGUUACAAUUUUUUGAGAAAAACGGAUUGUAGAUUGAAAAAUUUACUUGAAGGUGGAUUUAAUUGUAAAGCUUAUAAAGGCUUGAUAAGAGCACUAACUUGUGUACACAC
Molecule: ribosomal RNA, 348 nt
Filed under: Hexechamaesipho pilsbryi
Lineage: Eukaryota; Metazoa; Arthropoda; Thecostraca; Balanomorpha; Chthamalidae
Description: partial 12S ribosomal RNA
Source: RNAcentral